This 380-nucleotide transfer-messenger RNA is filed under the name Diaphorina citri (Asian citrus psyllid). It matches the Rfam family "transfer-messenger RNA". From Rfam's summary of the family: Bacterial tmRNA, also known as 10Sa RNA or SsrA, is named for its dual tRNA and mRNA-like properties. Its role is to liberate the mRNA from a stalled ribosome. RNAcentral also lists the same sequence under 1 other name. Lineage: Eukaryota; Metazoa; Arthropoda; Insecta; Hemiptera; Psyllidae. The record is from Rfam by way of RNAcentral.
GGGGGCGAUCUGGUUUCGACAAGGAUAAUGAUAUAGAAAAAAGCAUAUCGAGAUCUGGUUAACUCGUACCAAUAUUCCAGAAAAUUUAAAUGCAAAUGAAUCAAAAUACGCUCCAGUACGUUUGGCAGCAUAAAUUUAUUAGUCACAUAUAAAGGACUAGCUCCAUCUUUUUGUUCAUUAGAUUGAUUAAUGGAGUAAAAGAAAUAAUGAAAUCGCAAUAGUUAAAGUUACUAAACUAUUGUUAAAAAUAGUAACUCGUCUUUUUUGAAGUUUGUGCAUUAUCUUUAUUUAAAGAUUAAAAAAAUGAAAAUAGCACUAAAUAUGUAGAAAUGUCUAUAAAAUAUUCUUGGACGCGGGUUCAAUUCCCGCCGCCUCCAUAA